CCUACGGGAGGCAGCAGUGAGGAAUAUUGGUCAAUGGGCGAGAGCCUGAACCAGCCAAGUCGCGUGAGGGAGUACUGCCCUAUGGGUUGUAAACCUCUUUUGUCGGGGAGCAAAAGCCGGACGUGUCCGGCUGUGAGAGUACCCGAAGAAAAAGCAUCGGCUAACUCCGUGCCAGCAGCCGCGGUAAUACGGAGGAUGCGAGCGUUAUCCGGAUUUAUUGGGUUUAAAGGGUGCGUAGGCUGUGAGGUAAGUCAGCGGUGAAAUGCCCCCGCUCAACGGGGUGAAGUGCCAUUGAUACUGCCUGGCUGGAAUGCGGAUGCCGUGGGAGGAAUGUGUGGUGUAGCAGUGAAAUGCAUAGAUAUCACACAGAACACCGAUUGCGAAGGCAUCUCACGAAUCCGCGAUUGACGCUGAUGCACGAAAGCGUGGGUAUCAAACAGGAUUAGAUACCCUUGUAGUC
Molecule: ribosomal RNA, 460 nt
Filed under: uncultured bacterium
Lineage: Bacteria
Description: partial 16S ribosomal RNA
Rfam family: Bacterial small subunit ribosomal RNA
Source: RNAcentral